GACGAACGCUGGCGGCGUGCUUAACACAUGCAAGUCGAACGGAAAGGCCCUGCUUUUGUGGGGUGCUCGAGUGGCGAACGGGUGAGUAGCACGUGAGUAACCCGCCCUUGACUUUGGGAUAACUUCAGGAAACUGGGGCUAAUACCGGAUAGGAGCUCCUGCUGCAUGGGGGGGGUUGGAAAGUUUCGGCGGUUGGGGAUGGACUCGCGGCUUAUCAGCUUGUUGGUGGGGUAGUGGCUUACCAAGGCUUUGACGGGUAGCCGGCCUGAGAGGGUGACCGGCCACAUUGGGACUGAGAUACGGACCAGACUCCUACGGGAGGCAGCAGUGGGGAAUAUUGCACAAUGGGCGGGAGCCUGAGGCAGCAACGCCGCGUGCGGGAUGACGGCCUUCGGGUUGUGAACCGCUUUCGCCGGUGACGAAGCGUGAGUGACGGUAAUGGGUAAAGAAGCACCGGCUAACUACGUG
Molecule: ribosomal RNA, 468 nt
Filed under: uncultured bacterium
Lineage: Bacteria
Description: partial 16S ribosomal RNA
Rfam family: Bacterial small subunit ribosomal RNA
Source: RNAcentral